Long non-coding RNA from Mobula hypostoma (lesser devil ray), 1146 nucleotides. RefSeq lists it as uncharacterized. Lineage: Eukaryota; Metazoa; Chordata; Chondrichthyes; Myliobatiformes; Myliobatidae. The record is from RefSeq and is a predicted model, not a curated record. The transcript has 5 exons.
GUAACAAGUGUAACUUCGGAAAGCAUUUGGAUAAAUCUUUACAGGUUUUUGUUCGGAGUAUGUAACUCUGCCGUUUUACGAAAUGCACAUCGGAAUAUUCUGCAUUUUGGAGGCAGGACGAAGAACUGACAAGCAGUACAUUACAUCUGAUGUACAGUAAAUGUAGUACCAUACCUACAGAAGAUAUGGUACCCAAUGUACAAACUUGGAUGCUUAGGAGUUCUAAAAUGCAUAUGAAAUCAAAAUGCAGAUGCUGCCUGAUCUGCCGAGAAUCUCCAGAUAUCCCCAUAUUGUUUCAGAUUUUUAGCAUUAACAUGCUUUUGAUUUAAAGAACAAUUUCGUUGUGGAGUUCAAAUGCAUGUCAAUUUACAGUUUUGAAAAAGAUUCCAAGAAGAAUGAAAUGAGAGCAGUGCAUAAAUAUUCUGCAUGGAUAUUGAAAGGCCACACAUGAAGGAGUGAGACUAGGUAGGAAUAAUGCUGGUGGGCAGAUGUGGUGCAUGAGGUGAGCGGUUAACACUCUGAUGGACAGAAGGGAAUGACCACCACAACAGAAGACAGUGAUGAGGAGUGAAAGUGGAUUAAUCUACAAAGAGCAGCUGAUGAUGGAAGACAAUGGGAAGGCUGGAGAAGCAGAGGCCCAGGGAUUCCUUGGAAUAUCUUAUGAAAAAUACCUUCUCCAGCCUGGCUAUUCUAUAAAGCAUCAUAGAAGUAAUUAAUUUUUUUGCAUUUUUUCCACUCAGUCUGUCAUGUCCUACUAGAUUUAGAUUCAUGUGAGUACAUCUUGUAACUGGGCCCUGACUACUCCUUUGCUGCCUUUGGUUAGCAGUCCUCUCUUGCAUGGCCUCUCAUAUCCAGAGACAAUUUCAGUGAAACCAGGCUGAAACUCUCCAGGUGUCCUGACUGUCCCUUGUGUCCCAACAACCCACACGGUCAACUGUGCAUUUCCACUUGGUGAGGAGGAUAAAAUUGUGAAUGGGCUGCAUGUUCAGCAAUAUGUCAGAAUUCUUCCAGGAUUAUUCACUGCCAUGAAUACUCUGAAAUAUCAGAGCAAGUAAACACUGCAAUUGAAAUAUAUCUUUGUGUAGGAAACCCAUUGCUGCUCUCUCAAUGGAAAUGAGAAAACACAAAAUAGAUCUUUUUGACCAA